GUACAAAUGAGUAUGGAUUUGAAUUACAUAACGAUUUUUGAAAUGAUGAUAUGAGUAUGGAUGAAUUAUUGUAUGGAAAAUAUUGUUGAGAUUUUUAAGCAGGUGAAUAGUAAAAUACGCCAAAUAGUAAUAGAAACAGAGGAAACUCUGUUAGUUUCUUCAUAGAAAAAUAAUUGAUAUUAAAAUAUAACGAAAACAAAAUUUUUAAAGGAAUAAAGUAAGAUAAAAUAAGGUGCUCUAGCACCAAAUGUAGCACACCUUGCUCGGCUACAUUGUAGACGGGUGAGGGAUGUCACAAUCACCAUUAAUUUAAUGAUGGUUAUAAUUUUCUUCUAAAUCAGUAAUGAUUUUUAACGCACUAAAUAUGGUAUGAGCAUGCACUAAUACUUGCUGAACUGAUAUAAUACUCAACUCAAAUUUUGGUUAGUGCAUUCUCUUUGCUUUGGCUUUUAUAUGUUUAUAUAGAUUUCUUGGAUUUCUUGCUUCUUACUUUCAUUCUUCCAUAUUUAUAAUUCUUUCUUAUUCAGGAUUGUUAAUUCUGUUUCCCUCCCUUUUCCUUUCAUUUUCUCAGCGUUUGAAUUUUAAGCUUGUGAAGGUUCUAGAAUGCAAAACGAUUUCUGAUCAUGGCAUAUGGUAUCAUGUCAACUUCGAGGCCAAACCCAGAGAUUUUGAAUGCUCUCCAAAACUCUUUUUUGCUGAAUUGUAUGGAAAUGUGUUGCGCGUCACCUGUUUUUGUAUGCUGAAAUCUAAGGCUCUGAUAUGUUUGUGUGUUUUCUGUUUGCAUUUGAAAAGAUUGGCUAGUUACAAAAUUUAUUUUCUCUUUGUUUACUAAUGUCUUCUUCACCUGUUGUAUUCCCUAUAUUUGACUGCAAAUAUGUUUAAUUGCACAAUGACGCAUUGAUUGGUCCAUGGAAUACUGUCUCGAUACGAAAUUUCUAUAUUUUUCAGGUCCUUAAAUAUUUUUUUCCCAUCAGCUUGUUUAUAUGCAUGAUUCUUUCUCUUAUUUAGAAAGUCUGUCAGAGAUGGCUCUAUAUGUUCGCAAGUUGGUUUAUGUGUCACCUGUUGUUCUAUCCUGAAAUCUAUGGGCUCUGGUACGUGUUUUGUGUAGGCUUCUAUGUUCAUUUACAAGGAUGGGUAGGUUACAGAAUUUAUUUUCUCUUGUUUGGCUUGCUAUGACUAUUACUGGUUGGGGGUUUUAGGGGGUAGGGCUUGGCAGUGGCUUCCUGAGUUAUUAGCAGUUUUCUUGCAGCUGCGUUUAGAUGCUUCCACCUUUUUUGUUUUUCCAUUUUUCCUCGUCAAGUGAAGAAGUUUAAAUUUGACUUGAAUACAGUAUUAGCAAGUUCAUUAUUAUUGUUUUAUUAGCUAAUUAUUUUUUAUUGUUAUUUUUGGAUUUAUAUUAGAUGCUAGCCCCAUGAGGGGUUGUUUAUAUUGUGGUUCUCUCAUUCGUCAUCCUGCUAGUUGAUUUCGUGCUGGCAGUGAACGUGCCCUCAGGUUUGGCAAGUAUGGCGGAAUUCCUAUCAAUCGUGGACAAGUACUUCCUCAAAGUUAAUGGAAUGUGUGUGUGGUUGGUUUUUGCGUGUCUAGCUUUGUUAAAACUUUAGCAUGUAGUUCAUGUUUGGCAAUCAUCUUGGAAUCUACAAUGGACAAAAAGAGACUUUGUUAAAACUUCAGCAUGUAGUUAUGUUUGGCAAUCAUCUUGGAAUCUACAAUGGACAAAAAGAGACUUUGUUAAAACUUCAGCAUGUAGUUAUGUUUGGCAAUCAUCUUGGAAUCUACAUCGGACAAAAAGAGACUUUGUUUAAACUUUAGUAUGUAAUUUAUGUUUGGCAAUAAUCUUGGAAUCUACAUUGGAUAAAUCAUUUCGGAAUGUCCUAUCAAUCUAUUUAAUUAUGGAUUAUAAUAUGACAAUGCUAGA
RNAcentral lists this unclassified non-coding RNA (1915 nucleotides) under Hevea brasiliensis (rubber tree). The record is from RNAcentral. Lineage: Eukaryota; Viridiplantae; Streptophyta; Magnoliopsida; Malpighiales; Euphorbiaceae.